Molecule: ribosomal RNA, 378 nt
Filed under: uncultured organism
Description: partial 16S ribosomal RNA
Rfam family: Bacterial small subunit ribosomal RNA
Source: RNAcentral
GAACCGUACAAACGUUAUUCGGAAUCACUGGGCUUAAAGGGUGCGUAGGCGGCCAGGUAAGUUGGGUGUGAAAUCCCUCGGCUCAACCGAGGAACUGCGCCCAAAACUACUUGGCUUGAGGGAGAUAGAGGUGAGCGGAACUUAGGGUGGAGCGGUGAAAUGCGUUGAUAUCCUAAGGAACACCGGUGGCGAAAGCGGCUCACUGGAUCUCUUCUGACGCUGAGGCACGAAAGCUAGGGUAGCGAACGGGAUUAGAUACCCCGGGUAGUCCUAGCUGUAAACGAUGAGCACUGGGUUGGAGGCCCCCCCCCCCCGAUAGGCUUCCGGCCGAAGCGAAAGUGUUAAGUGCUCCGCCUGGGGAGUAUGGUCGCAAGGCUG